Molecule: long non-coding RNA, 1013 nt
Filed under: Sorghum bicolor (sorghum)
Lineage: Eukaryota; Viridiplantae; Streptophyta; Magnoliopsida; Poales; Poaceae
Description: long non-coding RNA (SBIC_LNC009235)
Source: RNAcentral
AAUAUAUGUAUCAGAUAACAUUAGAUUGCCAUCAGCAGAAGUGAACUGUAUAGGAUCACAUGGAACUUGUUUCUGAACAAUUUGAGUAGCUAGCUCCUAACUGUCAAAAGUUCCAGCACUGCCUGAAUCCAACAAAAUGAGCACCUCAUGAGAAUUUAUGAUACCCCUUAGCCGCAGAGUUCUAUUCUUCUUCUGAGAUUUCACUGUAGUCCCCUCUAUAACUGGAGAUUGGAUUGCCAUAACAUCCUGUCCAGCAGCUGGUACAGGGUCAUCCUCCCCAGCUGAAUAAUCCAUUUCAGUGUCCACCUGUACAGCAUCAAGUAAUUCUUGUAUCACAUGAAUAGGUAUUUGAGUAGGACACUUAUGAUUUCUUCCUGUCCACUUUUCUCCACAUGUGAAAACAAGUUAUUUGCUCUUCUAUAAGCCUUGAGUGCAGUCAGCUUGUCUCAAUUGCCAUUCAUCUGAGCUGUCUCAUUAGGCUUGACUUCUUCUCUCUUGAACUUAGUUCUAUCAACCAUACUGUUAGCUCUGGACUGAGACCUGGAAGAUUCCAUGUAAUCAGACCUGGACUGCACUUUGCUCUUGGCCAACUCCAACUCAGCUUCCUGUAACAGGGCUAAAGUGCUAGCGGCUUCCAGAUUCGGUGGCCGAUGCAAAAUGAUUGGUGCUCUUAUCUCUUUCCUUCAGCCCACCUAAAAAUCUUGUUACGAAGUACACAUCAUCACAAGAUGAGUUGUACAGAAGAAUGCAGUGUGCCAGGUGCUCAAACUUGGCCCGAUACUCUGCUACAGAACCUGUCUGCCUUAAACUCUCGAACUACUUCAUGUACAAAGGAUACUGAUCCCUGUCAAACUGAGCAAACACUGCUUUAUGCGUGUCAUCCCAUGACUGAAAUCGGGCACGUAGUUGAGCUGUCUGAAGCCAAAUUGCAGCAGAUCCAAUGAAAUUCAGUGUUGCAAAGCGGGGCUUCAUUGCUUCUGAUACACCAUAGAUAUCAAAAUACACUUCACACU